RNAcentral lists this ribosomal RNA (253 nucleotides) under uncultured bacterium. Its description in RNAcentral is "partial 16S ribosomal RNA". It matches the Rfam family "Bacterial small subunit ribosomal RNA", at positions 524 to 776 of the family's 1533-position model. The record is from RNAcentral.
UACGUAGGGUGCAGGCGUUAAUCGGAAUUACUGGGCGUAAAGCGUGCGCAGGCGGUUUGCUAAGACAGGUGUGAAAUCCCCGGGCUUAACCUGGGAACUGCGCUUGUAACUGGCAAGCUUGAGUGUGGCAGAGGGGGGUGGAAUUCCACGUGUAGCAGUGAAAUGCGUAGAGAUGUGGAGGAACACCGAUGGCGAAGGCAGCCCCGUGGGCUAACACUGACGCUCAUGCACGAAAGCGUGGGGAGCAAACAGG